RNAcentral lists this ribosomal RNA (485 nucleotides) under uncultured bacterium. RNAcentral's name for it is "bacterial SSU rRNA". It matches the Rfam family "Bacterial small subunit ribosomal RNA", at positions 28 to 507 of the family's 1533-position model. The record is from RNAcentral.
GAUGAACGCUAGCGGCAGGCUUAACACAUGCAAGUCGAGGGGCAGCGCAGUGUAGCAAUACAUGGGCGGCGACCGGCGCACGGGUGCGUAACGCGUAUCCAACCUUCCCGUUACUCAGGGAUAGCCUUCCGAAAGGGAGAUUAAUACCUGAUGGUGUUUGAAUUCCGCAUGUUAUUCAAACUAAAGAUUUAUCGGUAACGGAUGGGGAUGCGUGACAUUAGGUAGAUGGCGGGGUAACGGCCCACCAUGCCUACGAUGUCUAGGGGUUCUGAGGGGAAGGUCCCCCACACUGGAACUGAGACACGGUCCAGACUCCUACGGGAGGCAGCAGUGAGGAAUAUUGGUCAAUGGUCGAAAGACUGAACCAGCCAUGCCGCGUGAAGGUCACGGCCCUAUGGGUCUUAAACUUCUUUUGUAAGGGAGCAAUAAGGCGUACGUGUACGUCGAUGAGAGUACCUUACGAAUAAGCAUCGGCUAACUCCGUG